This 462-nucleotide ribosomal RNA is filed under the name uncultured bacterium. RNAcentral describes it as "partial 16S ribosomal RNA". It matches the Rfam family "Bacterial small subunit ribosomal RNA", at positions 28 to 507 of the family's 1533-position model. The record is from RNAcentral.
GACGAACGCUGGCGGCGUGCUUAACACAUGCAAGUCGAGCGGUAAGGCCUUUCGGGGUACACGGGCGGCGAACGGGUGAGUAACACGUGGGUGAUCUGCCCUGCACUUCGGGAUAAGCCUGGGAAACUGGGUCUAAUACCGGAUAUGACCUCCUAUCGCAUGGUGGGUGGUGGAAAGAUUUAUCGGUGCAGGAUGGGCCCGCGGCCUAUCAGCUUGUUGGUGGGGUAAUGGCCUACCAAGGCGACGACGGGUAGCCGACCUGAGAGGGUGACCGGCCACACUGGGACUGAGACACGGCCCAGACUCCUACGGGAGGCAGCAGUGGGGAAUAUUGCACAAUGGGCGAAAGCCUGAUGCAGCGACGCCGCGUGAGGGAUGACGGCCUUCGGGUUGUAAACCUCUUUCAGCAGGGACGAAGCGCAAGUGACGGUACCUGCAGAAGAAGCACCGGCUAACUACGUG